GCAAGUCGAACGAGAAGCCACUUCGGUGGUGGACAGUGGCGAAAGGGCGAGUAAUGCAUAUCUAACGUGCCCCUGAGUCGGGGAUAGCAGAGGGAAACUUCUGGUAAUACCCGAUGACAACGGUAGUCCGCAUGGACGGCCGUUCAAAGAUUAAUCGCUCAGGGAUCGGGAUAUGUCCUAUCAGCUUGUUGGUGAGGUAAUGGCUCACCAAGGCGAAGACGGGUAGCGGGUGUGAGAGCAUGACC
Molecule: ribosomal RNA, 245 nt
Filed under: uncultured bacterium
Lineage: Bacteria
Description: partial 16S ribosomal RNA
Rfam family: Bacterial small subunit ribosomal RNA
Source: RNAcentral